UAUAGCUGAGUCGGUAAAGCAUGAGACUCUAAAUAUCAGGGUCCUGGGCUUGAGUCCCAUGUUGGGCAA
Molecule: non-coding RNA, 69 nt
Organism: Podarcis lilfordi (Lilford's wall lizard)
Lineage: Eukaryota; Metazoa; Chordata; Lepidosauria; Squamata; Lacertidae
Source: the annotation of a GenBank genome assembly